CAACUUCCCAUUUGAAUAUUUUUAUUAAUCGUGCCUAGUCUUGUCCUUUCAACUUCAAUACAUGUUGUGGAAUUUAAUUCUAAAUAAGAUUUUUGUGGUCUCAGUCCCACUUGAUGGUUCUGGAUUGAAACAAAAGUAAAUUUGAGAAAAGAAAGGGCUUCCUAUUAAUCCGGUAGGCUGUUCAUUUGAGAUAAAAACAAGUAAAACCUUAAACUAACCGAAUGAAUAGC
RNAcentral lists this long non-coding RNA (230 nucleotides) under Olea europaea (common olive). Its description in RNAcentral is "long non-coding RNA (OEUR_LNC015670)". Lineage: Eukaryota; Viridiplantae; Streptophyta; Magnoliopsida; Lamiales; Oleaceae. The record is from RNAcentral.